GCGCUAACGGUAGUACUGGCAUUUUAUAAACUGGGUAUUUUUCUAGAUUCGGCGAAAAGAAUUUAUUAUUGCGCCUAUUGCGCCUUGAGAAGCUUUGGAAAAAAUAAUUCGUGGUCACGCCGCACGCUGUGGUUUGAAGUUUAGUGUUUGUGUGUAUCAUGUUUUUUUAGAUUGAUGGUAGAUUUUAGAAUUUCAAAUUUUUCUCUUACAAUAUGAGUUCUGCAAAAAACCCAAAGAAAGCGUGUUAUAAAUGUUGUGUGCCAAAACUUGUGAGGAAAUUGAACGAUUUAAAUUUCCCAAGCCAAAAAACCAAUAUAAUGCGGAUUUGUUUAAAAUUUGGCUUGAUAAUAUUAAUAAUCCAUUAAUAAAUGGGCGCAGCUACGACGAAAUUCAUUCUGUAUAUAAAAUUUGUGCCAAACAUUUUAUUGAAGGAAAAAUUCUUACAUCAGGCUCUAGAAGAGGCAUUUCGGAAAAUGCUGUGCCUACAUUAUUUUUAGGCAAAGAUAGUCUGAGUGAUAAUAAUGAUAAAAUAACAAUAUUUGACAAACAGUCAGGACUUGGCUCAUCUGGCACUUUUAAUAAUUUACCAUCAGUGUUAGAAAAUAUUGAAAAGCCAUCCAGGAAAAGCAAUAUUGAUAUUGAUAAUAUACACUUUGCUGCUAUUGAAGAUUCUUAUUCAUCUCUUAAAGGAUCGACGUCGAUUUUAAAAGAGAUCAAUGUAACGCGAGCAAAAUUCCUGUCACCUAAAGCCCGUCAUCUUUAUAAAAAAAUUUGUUAUUUUAAGCAACAAGUUCGCAAAGGUCACAAGGACAGACUGGCCGAAGCCGAGAAAUUGGCACAAUCUCCCCAAUUUGAGAAUCUCAUAAAGUCUGUGAACACCAGGACCUACAACUUUAUUUUAUGCCAAGUGCGAACUCAAAUACAAAAGCCUAAAGCCCAAAGGUUUUCGCUAGACGAAAAAUUGUUAGCUUUGACACUUUUAAAAGCUAGUAAUAGAGGCUAUAAAUUACUCUCAAAAAUUUUUGCUCUACCAUCAAAGCGGUCUUUCUAACUAAUUUAUUAAAUAAGAUACCUCUCAAGCCUGGCAUUAAUAGUCAUCUUUUUAAAAACAUGAAAAGGACGGUUCAAAACAUGAAACCUCUUGACCGUCAUUGCAUUCUUAUUUUCGAUGAAGUGGCUAUUGGUAGCCUACUGUCUUAUGACUCACGAGAGGAUGAAAUAAAAGGAAUCGCAGAUUUUGGACUUGGACAAAGAUAUCCGAAAAUUACCAACUAUGCCAAUGUUUUUAUGAUCAAAGGUUUAUUUCGGCAAUGGAAACAACCGAUCUGUUUUACGUUUAGUGAGGGUCCUACAAAGUCCGACACUAUAAGAUAUUUUAUUAAAAAAAUUGUACAAUUCUGUCACGAAAUAGGACUGAAAAUACUAGCCACAGUGUGUGACCAGGGAGCUCCCAAUCAAGCAGCAAUAAAUCAGCUCAAGAAGGAAACCAGCACGUAUUGCCUUAAGAACGGUAUCGAAAAUAAAUAUGUGGGUUUAUUGGUUGACAAAAAAGAAAUUAUACCCUUAUUCGAUACACCUCAUCUCUUCAAGGGAAUAAGAAAUAAUUUGUUAACAAAAGACCUCCAUUUCCAACUAAAGGGUUCAUCAUUUAUUGCCAAGUGGUCGCGUAUAGAGCAGCUGUAUUUUCUAGACGAUGAAGAUGACGUACGUAUGUGUCCGAAAUUAACGGAUGAGCAUGUGCUGCGGGACAAAAUUAGGAAAAUGCGUGUAAGCUGUUGCACCCGAGUGUUCGGAAAACAUUUCAAACUCAAAUAAUACCAUGAGCAUUAAUCUUAAAAGUGUUCCUCCUGCUCCAAGACGAUCAAAAAUCUCACGAUGUGUCUACAAAUAUAUUUCUGGUUUUAUUUUGAGAAAGAUGAAAAAACUUAUUAAGUGUAAUUUUUGUAAAAGGAACAUGUCAUCUAUUGACCUAAUGACAGAUCUUGAUUUUAUUGAAGCUAGGCAAUAUAAAAAUUGCAAUUUGACAGUUUCGGGAACAUAUUUUAACUUUCUGGUAAGCCAAGCGAUACCCCGACUUUUUUAUUUAAUUCCGAGGGUUUGCCAUGUGGCAAACAUUUCUAAAGUUUUGCAAGAAAUUAUUUCUAAAGAAUUGCACACGUCUUUAUUGAAUUGUACGUUGCAUGAAAAUACCGAUAAAAUAUUUUUAAAAUAUAUCGUUAGAUGUUGCUUGUUUUUUUGGUGUAAAAAAAUUAAUUUAAUAUCAAAAGGCAAAGAUGCGAAAUUUGUUAGGUAUUUAAGAACUACACCCAAAGAUCUAAUAGACCCCAUUAAAAUUAAUGCAUAUAAAAAAAAUUUUAAAAGGAAAAAAAGGUAAAAACAUAAAUAACAUUUUCUAUACAUACCAGGUGUUAACAGGCAUUUCUUUAAGUAAUUUUAAGACGAGAUUUUAAACUUCAAAUAUUUGUUUUUUCGUGAUUAUCUUAAAUAUCAUAUAUCCAAUUUUGCUGUCAUUUGACAUUACAAUUUGAGAAAAAAAAAGAAAGGUUUUUCCCAUGUUUCUUGUUUAGUUUAGAGAAUGCAAUUAAACACAAUUUAUUUAUUUUUUCUCGAAAACUAAGCAGGAAAAAAUUCGAGUAACAAAAAAGCUGUAUUUUUAAUUGAGUCUUUUUAAGUCUCAAAAAUAGCCAUUUAGGUACCACUAGGACAAAGACAAUUUAUAUAAAGGGUGUCCCACAAAAAAAUGCGGCGAAAAAAAAUUUAAAAACAUUUUGACACGUGACUUUGCUAACAUGUAUCUCAUGUACCUCAACUGAUAUGACAUGUACUGAUGACAUGAACUGACAUGUACCUCAACUGAUAGGUAUUAAAAAGUUAAGAUAAGGAAAGUGCAAUUCGUUUUUUUUUCAAUUUAGGUCAAUUUAUGAUUCAAAUUUCCAUCCAGAGUCCUCCUGCAGAAAAAAUAUUGUACGUAACACAAUCCAAAAGUGAUUUUAUUUACUAAUAUUUCAUUCUUCUGCAAACCUUUACGUUUUAUAUGUAUACUUAGGCAUACAAUAUAAGUUUAUAUUUUUACUAAAACAUAAAGUAGUUACAAAAUUACUCUUUCUGUACAUUCUCUUUCAUUUAAAUGUGUUUUUUAUUAAAUAAUAUCACAGAUAAAGUAUUAUGUAAUAUAAUAUGUAUUUCCACAUUGUUACAUAGACUUGCUGUAUAUUAUACAUUGUAUAUGUGUAAAAUUAAAAUACAUGUCAAUAAAAAAAGAAAAAAAUUG
RNAcentral lists this long non-coding RNA (3271 nucleotides) under Anthonomus grandis grandis. RNAcentral describes it as "uncharacterized LOC126734050". Lineage: Eukaryota; Metazoa; Arthropoda; Insecta; Coleoptera; Curculionidae. The record is from RNAcentral.